UUAAGCGACUAAGCGUACACGGUGGAUGCCCUGGCAGUCAGAGGCGAUGAAGGACGUGCUAAUCUGCGAUAAGCGUCGGUAAGGUGAUAUGAACCGUUAUAACCGGCGAUUUCCGAAUGGGGAAACCCAGUGUGUUUCGACACACUAUCAUUAACUGAAUCCAUAGGUUAAUGAGGCGAACCGGGGGAACUGAAACAUCUAAGUACCCCGAGGAAAAGAAAUCAACCGAGAUUCCCCCAGUAGCGGCGAGCGAACGGGGAGCAGCCCAGAGCCUGAAUCAGUGUGUGUGUUAGUGGAAGCGUCUGGAAAGGCGCGCGAUACAGGGUGACAGCCCCGUACACAAAAAUGCACAUACUGUGAGCUCGAUGAGUAGGGCGGGACACGUGGUAUCCUGUCUGAAUAUGGGGGGACCAUCCUCCAAGGCUAAAUACUCCUGACUGACCGAUAGUGAACCAGUACCGUGAGGGAAAGGCGAAAAGAACCCCGGCGAGGGGAGUGAAAAAGAACCUGAAACCGUGUACGUACAAGCAGUGGGAGCACAGAGCAAUCUGUGUGACUGCGUACCUUUUGUAUAAUGGGUCAGCGACUUAUAUUCUGUAGCAAGGUUAACCGAAUAGGGGAGCCGAAGGGAAACCGAGUCUUAACCGGGCGUUAAGUUGCAGGGUAUAGACCCGAAACCCGGUGAUCUAGCCAUGGGCAGGUUGAAGGUUGGGUAACACUAACUGGAGGACCGAACCGACUAAUGUUGAAAAAUUAGCGGAUGACUUGUGGCUGGGGGUGAAAGGCCAAUCAAACCGGGAGAUAGCUGGUUCUCCCCGAAAGCUAUUUAGGUAGCGCCUCGUGAAUUCAUCUCCGGGGGUAGAGCACUGUUUCGGCAAGGGGGUCAUCCCGACUUACCAACCCGAUGCAAACUGCGAAUACCGGAGAAUGUUAUCACGGGAGACACACGGCGGGUGCUAACGUCCGUCGUGAAGAGGGAAACAACCCAGACCGCCAGCUAAGGUCCCAAAGUCAUGGUUAAGUGGGAAACGAUGUGGGAAGGCCCAGACAGCCAGGAUGUUGGCUUAGAAGCAGCCAUCAUUUAAAGAAAGCGUAAUAGCUCACUGGUCGAGUCGGCCUGCGCGGAAGAUGUAACGGGGCUAAACCAUGCACCGAAGCUGCGGCAGCGACACUGUGUGUUGUUGGGUAGGGGAGCGUUCUGUAAGCCUGUGAAGGUGUACUGUAAGGUAUGCUGGAGGUAUCAGAAGUGCGAAUGCUGACAUAAGUAACGAUAAAGCGGGUGAAAAGCCCGCUCGCCGGAAGACCAAGGGUUCCUGUCCAACGUUAAUCGGGGCAGGGUGAGUCGACCCCUAAGGCGAGGCCGAAAGGCGUAGUCGAUGGGAAACAGGUUAAUAUUCCUGUACUUGGUGUUACUGCGAAGGGGGGACGGAGAAGGCUAUGUUGGCCGGGCGACGGUUGUCCCGGUUUAAGCGUGUAGGCUGGUUUUCCAGGCAAAUCCGGAAAAUCAAGGCUGAGGCGUGAUGACGAGGCACUACGGUGCUGAAGCAACAAAUGCCCUGCUUCCAGGAAAAGCCUCUAAGCAUCAGGUAACAUCAAAUCGUACCCCAAACCGACACAGGUGGUCAGGUAGAGAAUACCAAGGCGUUUGAGAGAACUCGGGUGAAGGAACUAGGCAAAAUGGUGCCGUAACUUCGGGAGAAGGCACGCUGAUAUGUAGGUGAAGUCCCUCGCGGAUGGAGCUGAAAUCAGUCGAAGAUACCAGCUGGCUGCAACUGUUUAUUAAAAACACAGCACUGUGCAAACACGAAAGUGGACGUAUACGGUGUGACGCCUGCCCGGUGCCGGAAGGUUAAUUGAUGGGGUCAGCGCAAGCGAAGCUCUUGAUCGAAGCCCCGGUAAACGGCGGCCGUAACUAUAACGGUCCUAAGGUAGCGAAAUUCCUUGUCGGGUAAGUUCCGACCUGCACGAAUGGCGUAAUGAUGGCCAGGCUGUCUCCACCCGAGACUCAGUGAAAUUGAACUCGCUGUGAAGAUGCAGUGUACCCGCGGCAAGACGGAAAGACCCCGUGAACCUUUACUAUAGCUUGACACUGAACAUUGAGCCUUGAUGUGUAGGAUAGGUGGGAGGCUUUGAAGUGUGGACGCCAGUCUGCAUGGAGCCGACCUUGAAAUACCACCCUUUAAUGUUUGAUGUUCUAACGUGGACCCGUGAUCCGGGUUGCGGACAGUGUCUGGUGGGUAGUUUGACUGGGGCGGUCUCCUCCUAAAGAGUAACGGAGGAGCACGAAGGUUGGCUAAUCCUGGUCGGACAUCAGGAGGUUAGUGCAAUGGCAUAAGCCAGCUUGACUGCGAGCGUGACGGCGCGAGCAGGUGCGAAAGCAGGUCAUAGUGAUCCGGUGGUUCUGAAUGGAAGGGCCAUCGCUCAACGGAUAAAAGGUACUCCGGGGAUAACAGGCUGAUACCGCCCAAGAGUUCAUAUCGACGGCGGUGUUUGGCACCUCGAUGUCGGCUCAUCACAUCCUGGGGCUGAAGUAGGUCCCAAGGGUAUGGCUGUUCGCCAUUUAAAGUGGUACGCGAGCUGGGUUUAGAACGUCGUGAGACAGUUCGGUCCCUAUCUGCCGUGGGCGCUGGAGAACUGAGGGGGGCUGCUCCUAGUACGAGAGGACCGGAGUGGACGCAUCACUGGUGUUCGGGUUGUCAUGCCAAUGGCACUGCCCGGUAGCUAAAUGCGGAAGAGAUAAGUGCUGAAAGCAUCUAAGCACGAAACUUGCCCCGAGAUGAGUUCUCCCUGACCCUUUAAGGGUCCUGAAGGAACGUUGAAGACGACGACGUUGAUAGGCCGGGUGUGUAAGCGCAGCGAUGCGUUGAGCUAACCGGUACUAAUGAACCGUGAGGCUUAACCU
RNAcentral lists this ribosomal RNA (2902 nucleotides) under Escherichia coli. RNAcentral describes it as "23S ribosomal RNA". It matches the Rfam family "Bacterial large subunit ribosomal RNA". Lineage: Bacteria; Pseudomonadati; Pseudomonadota; Gammaproteobacteria; Enterobacterales; Enterobacteriaceae. The record is from RNAcentral.